CUGAAGUGGCAUAAACAGGGCACCACACUGAAGAAGCUCCCAUAAGCAGAUCGUCUGCAUUUCAGAAAGAAAUACUCUGGGAGAGACUCUCUUGGAGGAGAGCGGUGGGUACAUCCGGUGUCUGGGCACUCCUUUCCCGUGAUGGUGCAGAUCUGGUUCUCUGGGACAAGUGGAACAUUUCCUGUCUGGUUUCCCUCCAGAUGUUUGAGGAUGUGAAGAUCCAACCCACGGGGUCUCUCAGGAGGUGAUUUGAAUGUUCUAAUAAAAUGCAGUAGUGGACUGCUUCCAGACGGCACUUUUCUAGCUAAAGGAGAAGGGGUUCUUGUAAUCUGAAGGAUCCUUUCAAAUCACAUCAGUCUGGCAUGAAUGGAGUAGAGGUGACAGAAAGCUCCUUGAACACAAGGCUGAGGCCUUUCCUCAUCUUCAGAAUUUCAUUCAACUGGAGAACAUAAUCAGCUGCUUUAACAGGAAAUAUCUGGAAAGGCCAUCUUAAAGGGCCGUGCAAAUCAGAGGAGGAUGCCAACUUGCCUUCUCCAUAGCAAAGAGAGCAGAUGGUAUGUGGAGGUGUGCACGCAGUGAAGGCGGUGGGCACAAUUGCAGAAGGUACAAUGCUGUACAGUGCAGAACCUCAGGGAGGUUGUGAAAGGGUUAAGGCACAGAAGGUGAGCCAUGCUAGCACUGCCACUGCAGCUCAGAAGUGGCUGGCAGGUACCUUCAGUGACC
Erinaceus europaeus (western European hedgehog) is the source of this 723-nucleotide long non-coding RNA. RefSeq lists it as uncharacterized. The transcript is spliced from 3 exons. The record is from RefSeq and is a predicted model, not a curated record. NCBI's taxonomy places the organism in Eukaryota, Metazoa, Chordata, Mammalia, Eulipotyphla, Erinaceidae.